ACUCCUACGGGAGGCAGCAGUGGGGAAUAUUGGACAAUGGGCGCAAGCCUGAUCCAGCCAUGCCGCGUGAGUGAUGAAGGCCCUAGGGUUGUAAAGCUCUUUCAACGGUGAAGAUAAUGACGGUAACCGUAGAAGAAGCCCCGGCUAACUUCGUGCCAGCAGCCGCGGUAAU
This 172-nucleotide ribosomal RNA is filed under the name uncultured Mesorhizobium sp. RNAcentral describes it as "partial 16S ribosomal RNA". It matches the Rfam family "Bacterial small subunit ribosomal RNA", at positions 335 to 524 of the family's 1533-position model. Lineage: Bacteria; Pseudomonadati; Pseudomonadota; Alphaproteobacteria; Hyphomicrobiales; Phyllobacteriaceae. The record is from RNAcentral.